Molecule: ribosomal RNA, 268 nt
Filed under: Dermatophagoides farinae (American house dust mite)
Lineage: Eukaryota; Metazoa; Arthropoda; Arachnida; Sarcoptiformes; Pyroglyphidae
Description: partial 12S ribosomal RNA
Source: RNAcentral
AUUUUAUGUACGGCUGUUAAGCUUUAAUUUGAUUAUUUUUGCUAUAAAAUUUUUCUUAAAGUUCAGGUCUAUGUGUAGAGAAUAGAUUGGUUUUUAAUUAGUUACCCUAAUAGGGAUAGGUUUUUAUUUACUUAUUAAAUAUGGAUGUGAAAGUAAAAUAAGAAUAAAAUUCUUGUUUGAUUAGGACCUAGUGAAAGUACAUAUCGCUCGUCACUCUUUGAUAGAUAAGUCGUAACAAAGUAGGGGUACCGGAAGGUGUCUCUUGUUU